CAACGGAUCUCUUGGCUCUCGCAUCGAU
Molecule: non-coding RNA, 28 nt
Filed under: Mus musculus (house mouse)
Lineage: Eukaryota; Metazoa; Chordata; Mammalia; Rodentia; Muridae
Also listed under: 1 other name
Source: RNAcentral